RNAcentral lists this long non-coding RNA (1125 nucleotides) under Coturnix japonica (Japanese quail). Its description in RNAcentral is "lncRNA (ENSCJPG00005015006.1)". The record is from RNAcentral. Lineage: Eukaryota; Metazoa; Chordata; Aves; Galliformes; Phasianidae.
AUGCGCAGCGCAGAUAAGGACUCGGGGCGGGACGACCGUGCGGUUUGUUCCCAGCGGUCGCUGUCGGUGCUGGGGGGGACACCGGGGCCGUCCCCAUCCUUCGGCGAUGGGCUGACAUUGAGCACCGCUCCCCCGGCGAGGCUUUCCCCAUCCCAACCCUGUCGGCUGUGGGUUUACCCAGGCUGCGCUCCGGGUAUAGCAUCCCUAUGGGGAGCGGGAUGGCCCCUGCCCCGCUCUGGCGGCACCAGGAUGGAUUUUCCACACAAACAGGAUAUGGUGGGGCUGCUGCUUCUUCCCGGAAAGCAGAGAUGGGGCUGGGAGUGGGAACGUGCCCGUGGCUGCUUCUCAGCGCUGCUGAGGGGCUGCGGGGGUCGUUCCUUGUCCUGCAGAGAGCAAGGAGCAGCUCCAAUGCCAACCAGUGGGGCUGCGUGCAGCCAGCACUGCCAAUGGGGUGCUGGGCAGGGGGUCGGGGUCCCAGCACCACUGGGGUCUUGGAGCCACCUUCACCCUCCAGCUGGAUACGGCUCCAAUUCCAUCUGCCUCCCAUCUCCCCAGUGCUGCUGUUGUGCUCUCCCUGCUGCAAACGAGGCGCUGCUGCGGCCCUUUGUACGACCCCCACCCUGCAGGGGGGUCCUGGGAUGGGUCCACCACCGGGGGGGGGGGCUGCAGGCCGGCAAUCGGGAGCAGCUGCGUUUUGUCCUCCGGGCUCCACCAUCACAGCGCUCAGUUCAAGCGCUACCGACCGCCGGGACGCGCAGCAGGGAGGCACCCAGCAAAGAGCAGCUCUUACCUCACAGCAACAAAACCUGGUGGGCGGUGGGUGCUGCUGGCACGCAGAGGGGGCGGUGGGUGCCACCCCCCCACCCAAACACCCACCCUGCCGGCUGGGAGCAGCGGAGGCAGCUCGGUGGGGAGCGGCCGUCCCGGUGCCGCGGGGCAGUUCGCCUUUGGCACGCUCUGCGCUCCCGGCGCUGCCAAACUGGUUUUUCUCCCCCCCACCGUCUCCGUGCUGCGUUUCCCCGCUGUCAGCACGGAGGGGAACCGACCUGCUGUGCCGGUGCAGGACGGUGGUGGGAGCCCCAUCCCGUGGCUUUGCCCCCCCCCCUCCGGUGCUGGUCACGCUGA